AUGGACAUGAGGGGCUGCACACUGCUCUUGGGGAUUCUGGUGCUGUGGCCAGCAGGCUCCAGAUGUGACAUCCAGAUGACACAGACUCCAUCCUUCCUGUCUGCAUCUCUGGGAGACAGAGUCACCAUUACCUGCAGGUCCAGUAAGGGUAUUAGCAAUUACUUAAACUGGUACCAGCAGAAACCAGGGGAAAGUCCCAAACUCCUGAUCUACUAUGCAUCCAGCUUACACACUGGGGUCCCAUCCAGAUUCAGUGGCAGUGGAUCUGGGGCACAGUAUUCUCUCACCAUCAGCAACCUGGAGUCUGAAGAUGCUGCAAUUUAUUACUGUCAGCAGUACUAUGAGGACCCUACCCACAGUGAUACAAGUCAUUACAUAAAGCUCUGGGAAAGAAGAAGUGUGAGGCUGGGCUGCCCUGCCUCUCUUGGUGAUUUGUCCUAUUGA
Jaculus jaculus (lesser Egyptian jerboa) is the source of this 444-nucleotide non-coding RNA. Lineage: Eukaryota; Metazoa; Chordata; Mammalia; Rodentia; Dipodidae. The record is from the annotation of a RefSeq genome assembly.